CAGAUUGAACGCUGGCGGCAGGCCUAACACAUGCAAGUCGAGCGGUAGAGAGGUGCUUGCAUCUCUUGAGAGCGGCGGACGGGUGAGUAAUGCCUAGGAAUCUGCCUAGUGGUGGGGGAUAACGUUCGGAAACGGACGCUAAUACCGCGUACGUCCUACGGGAGAAAGCGGGGGACCUUCGGGCCUCGCGCCAUUAGAUGAGCCUAGGUCGGAUUAGCUAGUUGGUGAGGUAAUGGCUCACCAAGGCGACGAUCCGUAACUGGUCUGAGAGGAUGAUCAGUCACACUGGAACUGAGACACGGU
RNAcentral lists this ribosomal RNA (303 nucleotides) under uncultured soil bacterium. RNAcentral's name for it is "bacterial SSU rRNA". It matches the Rfam family "Bacterial small subunit ribosomal RNA", at positions 25 to 330 of the family's 1533-position model. The record is from RNAcentral.